AGAUUAAGUUAUUAAGGGCGCACGGUGGAUGCCUUGGCACUAGAAGCCGAAGAAGGACGUUACUAACGACGAUAUGCUUUGGGGAGCUGUAAGUAAGCUUUGAUCCAGAGAUUUCCGAAUGGGGAAACCCAGCAUGAGUUAUGUCAUGUUAUCCAUAUGUGAAUACAUAGCAUAUGAGAAGGCACACCCGGAGAACUGAAACAUCUAAGUACCCGGAGGAAGAGAAAGAAAAUUCGAUUCCCUUAGUAGCGGCGAGCGAAACGGGAAGAGCCCAAACCAGGGUGCUUGCACCCUGGGGUUGUAGGACACUCAGCACGGAGUUACAAAGGAACAGCUUAGACGAAUGACUUUGGAAAAGUCAGCCAUAGAAGGUAAAGGCCCUGUAGUCGAAAAGCUAUUCUCUCCUGAGUGGAUCCUGAGUACGGCGGAACACGUGGAAUUCCGUCGGAAUCCGGGAGGACCAUCUCCCAAGGCUAAAUACUCUCUAGUGACCGAUAGUGAACCAGUACCGUGAGGGAAAGGUGAAAAGCACCCCGGAAGGGGAGUGAAAUAGAACCUGAAACCGUGUGCUUACAAGUAGUCAGAGCCCGUUAAUGGGUGAUGGCGUGCCUUUUGUAGAAUGAACCGGCGAGUUACGAUCUGAUGCAAGGUUAAGCAGUAUAUGUGGAGCCGUAGCGAAAGCGAGUCUGAAUAGGGCGAAUGAGUAUCAGGUCGUAGACCCGAAACCAGGUGAUCUACCCAUGUCCAGGUUGAAGUUCAGGUAACACUGAAUGGAGGACCGAACCGACUUACGUUGAAAAGUGAGCGGAUGAGGUGUGGGUAGCGGAGAAAUUCCAAUCGAACCUGGAGAUAGCUGGUUCUCUCCGAAAUAGCUUUAGGGCUAGCCUCGCAUGAUGAUUACUGGAGGUAGAGCACUGUUUGGACUAGGGGCCCCCCUCGGGUUACCGAAUUCAGACAAACUCCGAAUGCCAGAUAAUUUAAUGCGGGAGUCAGACUGCGGGUGAUAAGGUCCGUAGUCGAGAGGGAAACAGCCCAGACCACCAGCUAAGGUCCCAAAAUAUAUGUUAAGUGGAAAAGGAUGUGGCGUUGCCCAGACAACUAGGAUGUUGGCUUAGAAGCAGCCAUCAUUUAAAGAGUGCGUAAUAGCUCACUAGUCGAGUGACGCUGCGCCGAAAAUGUACCGGGGCUAAACAUAUUACCGAAGCUGUGGAUUGUCCGUAGGACAAUGGUAGGAGAGCGUUCUAAGGGCGUCGAAGCAUGACCGUAAGGACAUGUGGAGCGCUUAGAAGUGAGAAUGCCGGUGUGAGUAGCGAAAGACGGGUGAGAAUCCCGUCCACCGAUUGACUAAGGUUUCCAGAGGAAGGCUCGUCCGCUCUGGGUUAGUCGGGACCUAAGCCGAGGCCGAAUGGCGUAGGCGAUGGACAACAGGUAGAUAUUCCUGUACCACCUAAGAUCGUUUGAACGAUGGGGGGACGCAGUAGGAUAGGGGCAAAUCCGGUACUCAUCAAGAUCAAGGUGUGAUGGGGAGCGAAAUUAUAGUAGCGAAGUCGUUGAUUUCACACUGCCAAGAAAAGCCUCUAGUUAGAAAUUAGGUGCCCGUACCGCAAACCGACACAGGUAGUCAAGAUGAGAAUUCUAAGGUGAGCGAGCGAACUCUCGUUAAGGAACUCGGCAAAAUGACCCCGUAACUUCGGGAGAAGGGGUGCUUUUUAGGGUGCAAGCCUUGAAGAGCCGCAGUGAAUAGGCCCAAGCGACUGUUUAUCAAAAACACAGGUCUCUGCCAAACCGUAAGGUGAAGUAUAGGGGCUGACGCCUGCCCGGUGCUGGAAGGUUAAAAGGAGUGGUUAGCGUAUGCGAAGCUACGAAUUGAAGCCCCAGUAAACGGCGGCCGUAACUAUAACGGUCCUAAGGUAGCGAAAUUCCUUGUCGGGUAAGUUCCGACCCGCACGAAAGGCGUAACGAUUUGGGCACUGUCUCAACGAGAGACUCGGUGAAAUCAUAGUACCUGUGAAGAUGCAGGUUACCCGCGACAGGACGGAAAGACCCCGUGGAGCUUUACUGCAGCCUGAUAUUGAAAUUCGGCACAGCUUGUACAGGAUAGGUAGGAGCCUUUGAAGCGUGAGCGUCAGCUUACGUGGAGGCGCUGGUGGGAUACUACCCUGGCUGUGUUGACUUUCUAACCCGCGCCACUUAUCGUGGCGGGAGACAGUGUCAGGCGGGCAGUUUGACUGGGGCGGUCGCCUCCUAAAGAGUAACGGAGGCGCUCAAAGGUUCCCUCAGAAUGGUUGGAAAUCAUUCGCAGAGUGUAAAGGCACAAGGGAGCUUGACUGCGAGACCUACAAGUCGAGCAGGGUCGAAAGACGGACUUAGUGAUCCGGUGGUUCCGCAUGGAAGGGCCAUCGCUCAACGGAUAAAAGCUACCCCGGGGAUAACAGGCUUAUCUCCCCCAAGAGUUCACAUCGACGGGGAGGUUUGGCACCUCGAUGUCGGCUCAUCGCAUCCUGGGGCUGUAGUCGGUCCCAAGGGUUGGGCUGUUCGCCCAUUAAAGCGGUACGCGAGCUGGGUUCAGAACGUCGUGAGACAGUUCGGUCCCUAUCCGUCGUGGGCGUAGGAAAUUUGAGAGGAGCUGUCCUUAGUACGAGAGGACCGGGAUGGACAUACCUCUGGUGUACCAGUUGUCGCGCCAGCGGCAUAGCUGGGUAGCUAUGUAUGGACGGGAUAAGUGCUGAAAGCAUCUAAGCAUGAAGCCCCCCUCAAGAUGAGAUUUCCCAACUUCGGUUAUAAGAUCCCUCAAAGAUGAUGAGGUUAAUAGGUUCGAGGUGGAAGUGCAGUGAUGUAUGGAGCUGACGAAUACUAAUCGAUCGAAGACUUAAUCAAUUU
Molecule: ribosomal RNA, 2880 nt
Filed under: Macrococcoides caseolyticum
Lineage: Bacteria; Bacillati; Bacillota; Bacilli; Caryophanales; Staphylococcaceae
Description: bacterial LSU rRNA
Rfam family: Bacterial large subunit ribosomal RNA
Source: RNAcentral